UACGAAGGGGGCGAGCGUUGUUCGGAUUUACUGGGCGUAAAGGGCGCGCAGGCGGCUCAUUUUGUCAGGCGUGAAGGCCCCGGGCUUAACCUGGGAACUGCGUUUGAUACGGAUGGGCUAGAGUUCGGGAGAGGAGAGUGGAAUUCCCAGUGUAGAGGUGAAAUUCGUAGAUAUUGGGAAGAACACCAGUGGCGAAGGCGGCUUUCUGGACGGUAACUGACGCUGAGACGCGAAAGCGUGGGGAGCAAACAGG
This 253-nucleotide ribosomal RNA is filed under the name uncultured bacterium. Its description in RNAcentral is "partial 16S ribosomal RNA". It matches the Rfam family "Bacterial small subunit ribosomal RNA", at positions 524 to 776 of the family's 1533-position model. The record is from RNAcentral.